CUACGGGAUGCACCAGUAGGGAAUAUUGGACAAUGGGCGAAAGCCUGAUCCAGCAACACCGCGUGCACGAUGACGGCCUUCGGGUUGUAAAGUGCUUUUAGAGGAGAUGAGAAAGGACAGUAUCCUCUGAAUAAGCCUCGGCGAACUACGUGCCAGCAGCCGCGGUAAAACGUAGGAGGCAAGCGUUAUCCGGAUUUAUUGGGCGUAAAGCGCGUGCAGGCGGUCUAGCAAGUUGGAUGUGAAAGCUCCCGGCUCAACUGGAGAGGUCGUUCAAUACUGUUAGACUAGAGAAUAGGAGAGGGAGGUGGAAUUCCGGGUGUAGUGGUGAAAUGCGUAGAUAUCCGGAGGAACACCAGUGGCGAAAGCGGCCUCCUGGACUAUUUCUGACGCUAAGACGCGAAAGCUAGGGUAGCAAACGGGAUUAGAUACCCUCGUAGUC
Molecule: ribosomal RNA, 439 nt
Filed under: uncultured bacterium
Lineage: Bacteria
Description: partial 16S ribosomal RNA
Rfam family: Bacterial small subunit ribosomal RNA
Source: RNAcentral